GACUUUUUCUUAUGAUAAUAACUAUGCCUUUUGACUGAAAUCAUCCAGUAUUCCAUCAUAAAGUUGCAGGUCCUUCUAGUUGUGGGAUGUGGGACGCAGCCUCAACGUGGCCUGACGAGCAGUGCCAUGUCCGCGCCCAGGAUCCAAACCCCGGUCCGCCGCAGCAGAGCGAAACUGCCUCCAGUGCCAGUGCCAUUGGGUUAUAGCAGAAUAGCCUGUGCAGUUCGUGAGACUCCAUCGAGGGAUUAGAGCUCAGUGAUGAUCUUUCUGACACGUGGAUUUGGGGACUUGUCUGACCAUUUAAGUGUGCUGUUACAUCUGUGACUUUCCAGCAGUGUGCCUGUGACCAUGGAGACACCCUCAUGGAGCAUCAAUUGAGACAAGUACUACAGGAUCCACUCUGGGAGCUCCGGUCAGACUUGUAAAGGCACAUCCACAGCACAGAUGUGGAGUAUCCCUCCCAAGGGGUGCAGCUAAGCAGAUCAAGCCGCUGCCUACAGCUGGGUUUUCCAUCUAGUCACUGGGUCGCAACAAGCUAACUUCAGCUGCCACCACUCAGAGGCCAAUGAGGAGAGUCUAUAAAAUUCCCCUCAAGUUCUCUUUGUUAGUGAUCUAACACGCAGGUCCUCUGGCUCGUAUUGUGUCUAGUCCUCACAAAGCCCUAUGGUGUAGAUGUAUCACCCUCCCUCCUUUUUAGAGAUGGGCAAACUGAGGCUCUGGAAGACGGAAACUUACCUAAGGCGACACUCUCGAAGUGGGUCUUCCAGAUCACCAGGCAGCUGUCCUCCAAGUGGUGAUGUGAGACCAAGCUCCUUCUACCUGAUGACUCCACCAUCUUCAACUCUGGCCCCCCGGGUCAUCCUGGAGCCCAAUAUCCACCAGCAGAGCAAGAGGAGAGGACAUAGAAGUGUGCAAGGAGGUUUUUAUGGGCCAGGCCUGAAGCUGCAUACAUUACUUCUACACCCAUUCCACUGUCCAGAACUCAGUCUCACGGUUGCAUCUCACUACUGGGAAGACUGGGAAACAUAGUCCAGCAGUCACUGCCCCAGCC
Molecule: long non-coding RNA, 1051 nt
Filed under: Equus caballus (horse)
Lineage: Eukaryota; Metazoa; Chordata; Mammalia; Perissodactyla; Equidae
Description: lncRNA (ENSECAG00000047943.1)
Source: RNAcentral